GAUGAACGCUGGCGGCGUGCUUAACACAUGCAAGUCGAACGAAGCACUUUAUUUGAUUUCCUUCGGGACUGAUUAUUUUGUGACUGAGUGGCGGACGGGUGAGUAACGCGUGGGUAACCUGCCUUGUACAGGGGGAUAACAGUUGGAAACGGCUGCUAAUACCGCAUAAGCGCACGGCAUCGCAUGAUGCAGUGUGAAAAACUCCGGGGGUAUAAGAUGGACCCGCGUUGGAUUAGCUAGUUGGUGAGGUAACGGCCAACCAAGGCGACGAUCCAUAGCCGACCUGAGAGGGUGACCGGCCACAGUGGGACUGAGACACGGCCCAGACUCCUACGGGAGGCAGCAGUGGGGAAUAUUGCACAAUGGGCGAAAGCCUGAUGCAGCGACGCCGCGUGAGCGAAGAAGUAUUUGGGUAUGUAAAGCUCUAUCAGCAGGGAAGAUAAUGACGGUACCUGACGAAGAAGCACCGGCUAAAUACGUG
Molecule: ribosomal RNA, 481 nt
Filed under: uncultured bacterium
Lineage: Bacteria
Description: partial 16S ribosomal RNA
Rfam family: Bacterial small subunit ribosomal RNA
Source: RNAcentral